GUCCUUGUAGCUUACAACAAAGCAUGGCACUGAAGAUGCCAAGACGGCUGCCACCUGCACCCAAGGACA
This 69-nucleotide transfer RNA is filed under the name Phoenicurus frontalis (blue-fronted redstart). RNAcentral's name for it is "tRNA-Phe". Lineage: Eukaryota; Metazoa; Chordata; Aves; Passeriformes; Muscicapidae. The record is from RNAcentral.